This 292-nucleotide unclassified non-coding RNA is filed under the name uncultured fungus. Its description in RNAcentral is "sequence contains ITS1, 5.8S rRNA gene". The stretch from base 244 to 292 matches the Rfam family "5.8S ribosomal RNA", at positions 1 to 49 of the family's 154-position model. The record is from RNAcentral. Lineage: Eukaryota; Fungi.
UUUCCGUAGGUGAACCUGCGGAAGGAUCAUUACCGGGAUUUGUUUCAUUAUGAGACUAUCUCCAUGACCCUUUUUGUUUAUCAAAAAAUGUCUACUUCGGCAAGACGUUCAAUUUUGGUUCUUUUUGGGAUCAGAAUUGACCAUUGACUUUUACCCAAAAGUGAAUGUGUUUUUUUUGCUUGCCGAAGGUUUUUAUAACUCUUUAUUAUACUUGAAGUCUGAGUACAAAAGAAAAUAAAUUAAAACUUUCAACAACGGAUCUCUUGGUUCUGGCAUCGAUGAAGAACGCAGC